CCUUUGUAGGUGCCUCCACCUUUUUUUUUUUUUUUUUUUAAAGAUUUAUUUAUUUAUGCAUACAAGAGCUGGGAUACAGGCCAGAGGUGCAGAAGGUGAGAGGAUUCACCAAAGACAGAGUGGGGAGCAGAACAGGCAGACUGAAAUACACUGCUGAGGGGAGCAGCAGGCGAGACAGGAGAGGUCUGCCGUGCCAUGUGGGUAUCUCUGCAGCCGGCGGGGCUCGAACCGGCGCUGCAGAGGCUGCGGAUAGCUUCACAGCGCUGCACUCAACUGCCUGCGCCACUAGGAAGGCCCUGCCUCCACCUUUUUAGGGCCUCAGGCUGCAAGUUGGGAAGAAAGAUAACGGGGAUCCUAAUUCCAAACCUGAUGAAAUGGCCGGAAGACACUGGAACUGAUCUUGGAUCCUGUUUUUCCAAGAAUGGUCUACUUCCAUCUUGUUUAAUUCAGCAAGCUGCAUCAGCUUCUGUAACCAUUUACUCACCUACCAGUCCCUUUGUGACUUUGUAAGGAUGCAUCAGUUCAAAUACCAGCCUAUCUGUACAGUGCGUAGUAUCAACCGCUUUGAGAAGACAAAGUGCUUCCAAAAAACAGAUCUGUAAACAAAAAAAGAAAAGGUUAAAGCCUGCGAAGUCUUCUCCUUGCACAAGACUUCAAUACAAGAUUGCCAUUCGGGGGCUGAGCCCAGUGGGUUGCAUUUCCUAGCCUCUCCAGUCAGCUGGCUUCCUGGUGGCUCAGCUAAUAGAAGGCUCAAGCAAGGGAUCAGAUGAUGGAAGAGAGUAAAAGAUGCUGCUUCUGCUAGCAAAGGAGACUCGAUUUUGUUUCUGAUGCAUACUUUCUUGGACCGUAUAGCCCUUUGAGAGGCCUCAGGUUCUAUGGAAGUAUCAAGCCUUCACUCUUGUUAACUCAAGAUCUCUUCUUUUACUGCAACAUGUCAGUUAAAACUCCUUGGUUCCUGAGACCAGUAAGCCCCCAGGGAAGCCUCAUUGUCAGCUCAUCCAAUAUUCCCUUUCCCCUACCCCCAAUUUGGCUCCACCUUCUUUUUUUGAUCACUGAGAAUUUUCCCUUUCUUGUAAGCUUCUCUCUCUGAUUAACUCUCCAAGUUAUU
Molecule: long non-coding RNA, 1108 nt
Organism: Talpa occidentalis (Iberian mole)
Lineage: Eukaryota; Metazoa; Chordata; Mammalia; Eulipotyphla; Talpidae
Exons: 3
Source: RefSeq, a predicted model, not a curated record